RNAcentral lists this ribosomal RNA (253 nucleotides) under uncultured bacterium. RNAcentral's name for it is "partial 16S ribosomal RNA". It matches the Rfam family "Bacterial small subunit ribosomal RNA", at positions 524 to 776 of the family's 1533-position model. The record is from RNAcentral.
GACGAACCACACAAACGUUAUUCGGAAUUACUGGGCUUAAAGGGUGCGUAGGCGGCGCGGAAAGUUGGGUGUGAAAUCCCUCGGCUCAACCGAGGAACUGCGCUCAAUACUACCGUGCUCGAGGGAGACAGAGAUGAGCGGAACUUAGGGUGGAGCGGUGAAAUGCGUUGAUAUCCUAAGGAACACCCGUGGCGAAAGCGGCUCACUGGGUCUCUUCUGACGCUGAGGCACGAAAGCUAGGGUAGCGAACGGG